Molecule: long non-coding RNA, 1408 nt
Filed under: Prunus persica (peach)
Lineage: Eukaryota; Viridiplantae; Streptophyta; Magnoliopsida; Rosales; Rosaceae
Description: long non-coding RNA (PPER_LNC005119)
Source: RNAcentral
UAAAUCUUUAUGACUUUCUGGGGAGGUUCCUUGGCUGCAUCACGGUCCUCGAUCUGCUGGAUAGCCUUCUUUUUCACGAACUCUAUGCAAUGGCCAUCUCUCAUCAACUUCUCGAGGUGUUUUUUUCAAGUAAAGCAAUCGUUUGUAUACCUCUUAAUUGGAUCUCAUUUUAAAUGUGGUGGUCUCUUCAGUAAGGGUUCGUCUUUCACUUGGGCUAAGAUUUGAUGUGUCAGGAUAGAGAAUUUAGUGUAACUCUUAUCUACUAGGGUGCUCUCUUGGGGUUCUGAUUUGCGCUUUCCCCCAUGGUCCCUGCUGCUGGAUCUAUCACCCUUCUGACUUGAUGGCUGAUUGACUUGCUUAGGGACUUUUUUGCAGUGAUUUGAUCAUCAUCCUAAAGUGCAUAGCGUUCCGCAGUAGUGAAGGCCUCUGCUAUAGUCUGGUUGGGAGCGAUGGUCAGCUCGCGGUAUAGGCCGUGUUCAGCUGGCAAGCCCUUCUUAAAAGUAGAUGAUGCAAUUCAAUCAUCGUAUCCCACAAUGUUAGCCUUUUCUACUUAAAACCUCUUGAUGUAGUCUCAGAGAGACUCAUCAUGCUUCUUGGGCAAGUUGAAUAAGUGGUCAAGCUGCUUCUUGACCGUCCGGUAAAAGGUGUACUCCUUUGUGAAGGUCUCUCCAGCUGCUUAUUGACCCAAAUUGUAAGUUUUGUAACCAAUCUUGAGGUGCCCUCAACAAGGUCAUUGCAAACACCUUGCACAUCAAUGCAUCCUCAGACUUGUAGAGAAUCAUGACACUUUUGAAAUGCUUUAAAUGGCUCUCGGGAUCGGAAUCCCCUUUGAAUGGCAUGAAAGAUGGCUUUGUGAAUCACCUUGGCGAGGCCGCCUGCUUGAUCUCAUUGGUGAAAGGAGAUGAGUUUACUUGGUCUUAGGAGUGGGCAUCGGAAUCUCAAAACCGCAAAGCUGAACCAAACCGAACAAAAAAAAAUUGAAAAAAACUGUGUUGAUUGAAAAGUCAAAAACCAGAACAGAACCGAACUGGACCGAUUUCAGUCUCGGUUUUCUACCACACAGAACCGAUCCAAUCCAAACUAGUCCAGUUAUUUAAAUUAAUUAAUUAAUUAUAUUUUUAGCCCACUUUUCUCUACCUUUAGCCCAAUAUUCUCUCAAUGCAUAAAGCCCAACUUUAUAUAUAUAAAAAAUUCUAAAGCCCAACUUUAUAUAAAAAAAAAUCCUCAAGCCCAACUUUAUAUAUAAAAAAUCCUAAAGCCCAAUAACACUAACCUAUAGCCCCAAUUUAAGUAAUAACCUUAGUUUCUCAUUUUCUUUACUUAGCCGCCACUCCCCCAUCUUUCCUUAAUCUUUUUUUUUUCUUUUUUCUUAUUCUUUUCUCUCUUCUCUGUGCCGACACUCUCUCUC